CGCGUAGGUGGUAGUGCAAGUCUGAGGUGGAAUCUUAGGGCUUAACCCUAAAAUUGCCUUGGAAACUGUAUUACUUGAGUCAGUGAGGGGAGGGUAGAAUUCCCGGUGUAGCGGUGAAAUGCGUAGAUAUCGGGAGGAAGGCCUGUGGCGAAGGCGGCCCUCUGGCGCUGAACUGACACUGAGGCGCGAAAGCGUGGGUAGCAAACAGGAUUAGAUACCCUGGUAGUCCACGCCCUAAACGGUGGGUACUAGGUGUAGGGCUCGUAAGGGUUCUGUGCCGAAGCGAAAGCAUUAAGUACCCCGCCUGGGGAGUACGGCCGCAAGGUUGAA
This 330-nucleotide ribosomal RNA is filed under the name uncultured bacterium. RNAcentral's name for it is "bacterial SSU rRNA". It matches the Rfam family "Bacterial small subunit ribosomal RNA", at positions 568 to 898 of the family's 1533-position model. The record is from RNAcentral.